This 434-nucleotide long non-coding RNA is filed under the name Homo sapiens (human). Its description in RNAcentral is "HSALNT0325257". The record is from RNAcentral. Lineage: Eukaryota; Metazoa; Chordata; Mammalia; Primates; Hominidae.
GGAGGAUGUCCCACAAAUGAAUAAAUGUCUUCCUUCACACUACAACAGCACAGUUGUGUAGUUGCCACAGAGACUGGAUGGCUGGAAAAUCCUGAAAUAUUUACUCUCUGCACCUUUGUAGAAAAAACGUGUUUGAUGAGGCAGGAUACCAUGCUGUGGAGACCCAUUUGGCAAGAAACUAAAGGCAGCCACCAUCCAAAUGCUAGGAAAAAGCUACAGCUUUCUGUCUGAUGGCAAAGGAGACACUGAAUCCAGUCAACAAUAACAGGAGUUUGAUGGAAGAUCCAUUCCCCAGUGGAGCCUCAGAUAACACCUCAAGUCUGGCCAACAUUCUGACUGUAAACUUAUGAGAGACCCUGAAGCAGAGAAUUCAGCUAAUCCAUGCCUGGGUUUCUGACUCUCAAAAAUUCUGAGAUAAUAAAUGCAUGUUGUUU